Molecule: unclassified non-coding RNA, 140 nt
Filed under: uncultured Eurotiomycetes
Lineage: Eukaryota; Fungi; Ascomycota; Eurotiomycetes
Description: sequence contains ITS1
Source: RNAcentral
CCGAGUUUACAACUCCCAAACCCCCUGUGAACUUAUACCAUUUACUGUUGCUUCGGCGGGCGCCUGUUUCCGGGGAACUCAAACUCUUCUGUAUUUCUUUAUCUAAUAUAUACUGUCUGAGUAAAAACUAAAAUGAAUCA